GUUAAAAAGCUCGUAGUUGAACUUCAGGCCUGGCUGGGCGGUCCGCCUCACGGUGUGUACUGUCCGGCUGGGUCUUACCUCUUGGUGAGCCGGCAUGCCCUUCAUUGGGUGUGUCGGGGAACCAGGACUUUUACCUUGAGAAAAUUAGAGUGUUCAAAGCAGGCCUGCGCCUGAAUACAUUAGCAUGGAAUAAUAAAAUAGGACGUGCGGUUCUAUUUUGUUGGUUUCUAGAGUCGCCGUAAUGAUUAAUAGGGAUAGUUGGGGGCAUUAGUAUUCCGUUGCUAGAGGUGAAAUUCUUGGAUUUACGGAAGACUAACUAUUGCGAAAGCAUUUGCCAAGGAUGUUUUCCAUUAAUCAAGAACGAAGGUUAGGGGAUCGAAAACGAUCAGAUACCGUUGUAGUCUUAACAGUAAACUAUGCCGACUAGGGAUCGGGCGAACUCAAUUUGAUGUGUCGCUCGGCACCUUACGAGAAAUCAAAGUCUUUGGGUUUUGGGGGGAGUAUGGUCGCAAGGCUGAAACUUAAAGGAAUUGACGGAAGGGCACCACCAGGUGUGGAGCCUGCGGCUUAAUUUGACUCAACACGGGGAAACUCACCAGGUCCAGACAUGACUAGGAUUGACAGAUUGAUAGCUCUUUCAUGAUUUUAUGGGUGGUGGUGCAUGGCCGUUCUUAGUUGGUGGAGUGAUUUGUCUGGUUAAUUCCGAUAACGAACGAGACCUUAACCUGCUAAAUAGCCUGGCCGGCUUAGGCUGGUCACCGGCUUCUUAGAGGGACUGUCUGCGUCUAGCAGACGGAAGUUUGAGGCAAUAACAGGUCUGUGAUGCCCUUAGAUGUUCUGGGCCGCACGCGCGCUACACUGACAGAGCCAGCGAGUUUUUUUCCUUGGCCGGAAGGUCCGGGUAAUCUUGUGAAACUCUGUCGUGCCGGGGAUAGAGCAUUGCAAUUAUUGCUCUUCAACGAGGAAUACCUAGUAAGCG
RNAcentral lists this ribosomal RNA (979 nucleotides) under uncultured eukaryote. Its description in RNAcentral is "SSU rRNA". It matches the Rfam family "Eukaryotic small subunit ribosomal RNA", at positions 618 to 1623 of the family's 1831-position model. The record is from RNAcentral.